GAAAUGCGAUAAGUAGUGUGAAUUGCAGAAUUUAGCGAAUCAUCGAAUCUUUGAACGCACAUUGCGCCCCUUGGUAUUCCAUGGGGCAUGCCUGUUCGAGCGUCAUUUCAACCCUCAAGCACUGCUUGGUGUUGGGCGUUUGUCCCGCCUACGCGCGUGGACUCGCCUCAAAGUCAUUGGCAGCUGUUCCCCUUCGGCUCGUAAGCGCAGCACAGUCGGCGCCCGGAGCUCUGGUGGGAUGGCGUCCAGCAAGCUAUAUUUUCAGGCUUGACCUCAGAUCAGGUAGGGAUACCCGCUGAACUUAAGC
RNAcentral lists this unclassified non-coding RNA (307 nucleotides) under plant metagenome. RNAcentral describes it as "partial contains 5.8S ribosomal RNA, internal transcribed spacer 2, and large subunit ribosomal RNA". The stretch from base 1 to 105 matches the Rfam family "5.8S ribosomal RNA", at positions 50 to 154 of the family's 154-position model. The record is from RNAcentral.